CGAGUGGCGAACGGGUGAGUAAUACAUCGGAACGUGUCCGCUCGUGGGGGGACAACCAACCGAAAGGUUGGCUAAUACCGCAUGAGUUCUACGGAAGAAAGAGGGGGACCCGCAAGGGCCUCUCGCGAGCGGAGCGGCCGAUGACUGAUUAGCCGGUUGGUGAGGUAACGGCUCACCAAAGCAACGAUCAGUAGCUGGUCUGAGAGGACGACCAGCCACACUGGGACUGAGACACGGCCCAGACUCCUACGGGAGGCAGCAG
This 262-nucleotide ribosomal RNA is filed under the name uncultured bacterium. Its description in RNAcentral is "partial 16S ribosomal RNA". It matches the Rfam family "Bacterial small subunit ribosomal RNA", at positions 92 to 354 of the family's 1533-position model. The record is from RNAcentral.